UACGUAGGGUGCGAGCGUUAAUCGGAAUUACUGGGCGUAAAGCGGGCGCAGGCGGUUUUGUAAGCCAGAUGUGAAAGCCCCGGGCUUAACCUGGGAAUGGCAUUUGGGACUGCAAGGCUUGAGUGCGGCAGAGGAGACUGGAAUUCCUGGUGUAGCAGUGAAAUGCGUAGAUAUCAGGAGGAAUACCGAUGGCGAAGGCAGGUCUCUGGGCUGACACUGACGCUCAUGCACGAAAGCGUGGGGAGCAAACAGG
Molecule: ribosomal RNA, 253 nt
Filed under: uncultured bacterium
Lineage: Bacteria
Description: partial 16S ribosomal RNA
Rfam family: Bacterial small subunit ribosomal RNA
Source: RNAcentral